RNAcentral lists this ribosomal RNA (244 nucleotides) under uncultured bacterium. RNAcentral describes it as "partial 16S ribosomal RNA". It matches the Rfam family "Bacterial small subunit ribosomal RNA", at positions 524 to 768 of the family's 1533-position model. The record is from RNAcentral.
AACGUAGGUGGCGAGCGUUAUCCGGAAUUACUGGGCGUAAAGCGUGCGUAGGUGGUUUGUUAAGUCUGAUGUGAAGCCCUGGGCUCAACCUGGGAAUUGCAUUGGAUACUGGCAGGCUAGAGUGCGGUAGAGGAUGGCGGAAUUCCCGGUGUAGCAGUGAAAUGCGUAGAGAUCGGGAGGAACAUCUGUGGCGAAGGCGGCCAUCUGGACCAGCACUGACACUGAGGCACGAAAGCGUGGGGAG